ACACCCCACUAUCACCCUCCUCCAGCCCGAUACCCCCUAUAUAGGUAGGUACCACCCCACUAUCACCCUCCUCUAGCCCCAUACCCCCUAUAUAGGUAGGUAUCACCCUCCUCUAGCCCCAUACCCCCUAUAUAGGUAGGUACCACCCUCCUCCAGCCCCAUACCCCCUAUAUAGGUAGGUACCACCCUCCUCUAGCCCCAUACCCCCUAUAUAGGUAGGUAUCACCCUCCUCUAGCCCCAUACCCCCUAUAUAGGUAGGUACCACCCCACUAUCACCCUCCUCUAGCCCCAUACCCCCUAUAUAGGUAGGUACCACCCUCCUCUAGCCCCAUACCCCCUAUAUAGGUAGGUACCACCCUCCUCUAGCCCCAUACCCCCUAUAUAGGUAGGUACCACCCUCCUCUAGCCCCAUACCCCCAUAUAGGUAGGUGACACCCCACUAUCACCCUCCUCCAGCCCCAUACCCCCUAUAUAGGUAGGUACCACCCUCCUCUAGCCCCA
This is a non-coding RNA of Salmo salar (Atlantic salmon), 502 nucleotides long. NCBI's taxonomy places the organism in Eukaryota, Metazoa, Chordata, Actinopteri, Salmoniformes, Salmonidae. The record is from RefSeq and is a predicted model, not a curated record.